Molecule: non-coding RNA, 112 nt
Organism: Acanthosepion pharaonis
Lineage: Eukaryota; Metazoa; Mollusca; Cephalopoda; Sepiida; Sepiidae
Source: the annotation of a GenBank genome assembly
UAUGGCCACAUCAUGUUGAAACACCAGAUCCUGUAAGAUCACCAAAGUUAAGCAGCAUCAUGUCUGGUCACUACUUAGAUGAGUGACUGUUUGGGAAUAAUAGGUACUGUAA